GAUUAAGUUAUAAAGGGCGCACGGUGGAUGCCUAGGCACUAGGAGCCGAUGAAGGACGUAACUAACGACGAUACGCCUCGGGGAGCUGUAAGUAAGCUUUGAUCCGGGGAUUUCCGAAUGGGGGAACCCAAAUAUCGUAAUGGAUAUUUACUUGUUUGUGAAUACAUAGCAAUCAAGAGGAACACGCAAUGAACUGAAACAUCUAAGUAGUUGCAGGAAGAGAAAGAAAAUUCGAUUCCCUGAGUAGCGGCGAGCGAAACGGGAAUAGCCCAAACUAUGAAGCUUGCUUCAUAGGGUUGUAGGACUGAUGUUGUGAGAACAAAAGGUAACGAUAGUUGAACAAGUUGGAAAGCUUGGCCAAAGAGAGUGAAAGCCUCGUAAACGAAAUCUGACCCACUCCAUUCAGUAUCCUGAGUACGGCGGAACACGAGAAACUCCGUCGGAAUCCGGGAGGACCAUCUCCCAAGGCUAAAUACUCCCUAGUACCGAUAGUAAC
RNAcentral lists this ribosomal RNA (496 nucleotides) under Companilactobacillus farciminis. RNAcentral describes it as "bacterial LSU rRNA". It matches the Rfam family "Bacterial large subunit ribosomal RNA", at positions 1 to 494 of the family's 2925-position model. Lineage: Bacteria; Bacillati; Bacillota; Bacilli; Lactobacillales; Lactobacillaceae. The record is from RNAcentral.